RNAcentral lists this unclassified non-coding RNA (339 nucleotides) under soil metagenome. RNAcentral describes it as "partial contains 5.8S ribosomal RNA, internal transcribed spacer 2, and large subunit ribosomal RNA". The stretch from base 1 to 120 matches the Rfam family "5.8S ribosomal RNA", at positions 35 to 154 of the family's 154-position model. The record is from RNAcentral.
GAUGAAGAACGUAGCGAAAUGUGAUACGUAGUGUGAAUUGCAGAAUUCAGUGAAUCAUCGAAUCUUUGAACGCACAUUGCACCUCUCGGUAUUCCGGGAGGUAUGCCUGUUCGAGCGUCAUUUGUAUCCUCAAGCUCUGCUUGGUGUUGGGUGUUUGUUCCGCCUCUGUGUGUGAACUCGCCUCAAAACAAUUGGCAGCCGGCGUACUUGUUUCGGAGCGCAGCACAUUUUGCGAUCCAGAUCAACGUACAGCGGCAUCCAAGAAGCCUUAUUUAACGCUCUUGACCUCGGAUCAGGUAGGGAUACCCGCUGAACUUAAGCAUAUCAAUAAGCGGAGGA